This 552-nucleotide ribosomal RNA is filed under the name Microbacterium paraoxydans. Its description in RNAcentral is "bacterial SSU rRNA". It matches the Rfam family "Bacterial small subunit ribosomal RNA", at positions 78 to 642 of the family's 1533-position model. The record is from RNAcentral. Lineage: Bacteria; Bacillati; Actinomycetota; Actinomycetes; Micrococcales; Microbacteriaceae.
GCUUGCUCUGUGGGAUCAGUGGCGAACGGGUGAGUAACACGUGAGCAACCUGCCCCUGACUCUGGGAUAAGCGCUGGAAACGGCGUCUAAUACUGGAUAUGUGACGUGACCGCAUGGUCUGCGUUUGGAAAGAUUUUUCGGUUGGGGAUGGGCUCGCGGCCUAUCAGCUUGUUGGUGAGGUAAUGGCUCACCAAGGCGUCGACGGGUAGCCGGCCUGAGAGGGUGACCGGCCACACUGGGACUGAGACACGGCCCAGACUCCUACGGGAGGCAGCAGUGGGGAAUAUUGCACAAUGGGCGAAAGCCUGAUGCAGCAACGCCGCGUGAGGGAUGACGGCCUUCGGGUUGUAAACCUCUUUUAGCAGGGAAGAAGCGAAAGUGACGGUACCUGCAGAAAAAGCGCCGGCUAACUACGUGCCAGCAGCCGCGGUAAUACGUAGGGCGCAAGCGUUAUCCGGAAUUAUUGGGCGUAAAGAGCUCGUAGGCGGUUUGUCGCGUCUGCUGUGAAAUCCCGAGGCUCAACCUCGGGCCUGCAGUGGGUACGGGCAGACU